Molecule: transfer RNA, 71 nt
Filed under: Bos taurus (domestic cattle)
Lineage: Eukaryota; Metazoa; Chordata; Mammalia; Artiodactyla; Bovidae
Also listed under: 3 other names
Rfam family: tRNA
About the family: Transfer RNA (tRNA) molecules are approximately 80 nucleotides in length. Their secondary structure includes four short double-helical elements and three loops (D, anti-codon, and T loops). Further hydrogen bonds mediate the characteristic L-shaped molecular structure. tRNAs have two regions of fundamental functional importance: the anti-codon, which is responsible for specific mRNA codon recognition, and the 3' end, to which the tRNAs corresponding amino acid is attached (by aminoacyl-tRNA synthetases). tRNAs cope with the degeneracy of the genetic code in two manners: having more than one tRNA (with a specific anti-codon) for a particular amino acid; and 'wobble' base-pairing, i.e. permitting non-standard base-pairing at the 3rd anti-codon position.
Source: Rfam by way of RNAcentral
UCCCUGGUGGCUUAGACAGUAAAGAGUCUGCCUGUAAGCAGAAGACCCAGGUUCAAUCCCUGGGUCGGGAA